UAGUUUGUUGUUUUAUUUUUUCUAUUUCCAUUUUUCUAUCUAUUUCUUCAUUUUCUUUUUCUAUUCUCACCAUAGCUGUCAAUUUAUCUUCUAAUUUUAAUUCUUCUUUUUCUAACAUUAAAUAUAAAUGUUCACCUAUUUUCUUUUACCUUCUCCCUAGAUUAGAAAAUACUAUUUUUAUUUUCAUGCAAUAUUUUUAGGAUUGAGGGUAGAGUUUGUGUACCG
This 225-nucleotide long non-coding RNA is filed under the name Capsicum annuum. Its description in RNAcentral is "long non-coding RNA (CANN_LNC000596)". Lineage: Eukaryota; Viridiplantae; Streptophyta; Magnoliopsida; Solanales; Solanaceae. The record is from RNAcentral.